This is a long non-coding RNA of Numida meleagris (helmeted guineafowl), 2144 nucleotides long. The record is from Ensembl. NCBI's taxonomy places the organism in Eukaryota, Metazoa, Chordata, Aves, Galliformes, Numididae.
UUCCCUUCCCUUCCCUUCCCUUCCACCUUCCCUUUUCCCUUUCCUUCCCUGUUGGUGCCAGACAGCACGCAGCAGAUGAUCCCCAGAGGGGUAUGCUCAGCACACACAAACAUGAUGUUUACUGGCUCUGGGAUGGAUCAGGGAGGGAUUUAGAGUCUCCGAGCUUGGCUGCACAGCUCAGAGAUCCCCCUGCAAGUUCAGCUGCAGGAAGUGGCUGGUGUGAAACUGCACAGCAAAUCCCCAGGCCUGGGGCUCUUGUUCCUGUCAGUCCAUUGCCUCCUGCUUCAUUUUCCCCUGCAGCCCUUUGGCACUUGCUUUGCAGCGGAGAGGAGGAUGCUUUUGCAGCCAGAAGCCAGCUCAUCCCUGCUACCACGGGGAGCCGCAGCCACAGACUGAAACCACAGCUCACCAGCAAAUGCAAAACAAUGUGCAAAACAUGUUUUAAUGUCAGGUUUUUAUUAAAAGUGGACUAAGAGAUUAAGAUGUUCAUCUGCCUUGCAGGGAGUGACUUUAUAAAUCUCAGCUUGCGUGCACUCGUGGAGCGUUGCUAAUCACCAGGCUGGAUCCACAUCACGUGUGCACGGACUGCUUGCUCAUGGAAAGCUCUCUUUCUCCCGGCAGUGAGAGCUGGGGCUCAGUGAGACCUCCUGGGGCUUAAUGUAGGUUCCCACUGACACAGAGUUAUUGUGUUUCUUUCCCAUUUUAUGCAUUCUGCUCUUCAGGCCUUCUGCACGUUGGUGACCCCGUGCUUUGAGGACUCUGUGUGGAGCAUCACUGGGUCAGCAGGGACCCACAGCUGGCAUGGGAUCCCAUACUGGACACUGUUAGAAGGUACUUUGAAUGCCACAGGGAUGGUGGUGACCACUGCAAAGACCUUUGAAAUCAGCUGGGGUGUUAAACUCUCUGCCGUGCUGAACUGCAGUGGUGGAAGUGAUUUAGGAGCACUUGAAAAUCUUGUCCUUGAUCUCUUAAGCUUGUCAUAACCACAGGAUUGGAGCAGCUUUGGCGAGAGAUGAUUUGGUUCCUGGCUUUUUUUUUCUUCCUCUCCGCUUGUUUUAUUCUCCUAUAAGCAUUCAUCCAGAAAUUCCCCUUUGCCGUGCUGGAUUGAUGGCUCUGGGACAAUCAGCAGUAUUCUGCUGCUGUUAGGAGUUCUAAAGGCAGUAAAGUUGGGUCCUUGAAGUGCUGUCAGUAAUCAUUUUUAUGGUGGUCAGAUUGCUCAUUAGCACACUUGUUUUCAGAUAUUUAAGCUGGAAAGAAAUCUAUAGUCCUUGCAUUUUUAACUUGAUAACCACUCAAUAGAACAAAUAGAGUUGGAAAUUAGAGCAGAGCUGGACUGGAAGAAAUAGUCCUGAAUGCUCACCUUUUACCCCAAAGGUCUAUGGAGACAAUUGCUUUGAGAACACAGCUUGGAGGAGCACAUACAUUCCCAGACUACCGAGAGGUAAUAACAGCUCAGGUUUACAGUGGUGAUUAGCCAGUGAGAUGGGUCUGGAGGUAGCCCUAAAAUAGGUAAAUUGAAAGCUUCUGCUCUGGGUCUGGGUGAAAAACAAAGACUGGAUUGGAGCAUUUGUUUGCAGGACAUGAACCAAAAGGAACAGCCCAGAAAGUCCUAAAUAAUUCCUCCCAGAACCUGGAGGUAACUGGCUGGAUUUAGAGCGGUGCUGGAGUGGCUUUUCUUAAAGCCCUGUUUCUCCAGGCAGGGUUGUGAAUGGCUCUUGUGCACACGAUGGGAUCUGGGGUCUCGGCAGCUGGUUGGGAACUGCUCUGUGUCCUGGUGCAUGAUGUGGGAGGCGUCCUCUUGGGGUCUGCAUUUGCUUCAUGCUGGCUGCAGUGUCAGAAAGAGAGAGGAAAUCCAUAGAGAAGAGGAAUGUUGAAGUAGGGAGCUGUGGUGGGAAAGUAAUGCUUUCUUCCUGAAAAAGUGACCCAUCCCUGGACCAUGGCCUUUCUGCCUUGGACCAGCAGCUGUCAGCACAGCGACAUAUCUGGGGACACUCAUCAGAGAUGCAGCAUUUUGGCCCCUGGUGCUCACCCGCACCUCCCAGAGUGCUCUCUUCCAUGCGGGGCACAUCUCAGCAGCUGCAUUUCCCCCCCACACCUUCAGUUUAGGCAAUAAAGCAGCAAAGGGUUGGGGGGUUGACUGAGAU